Molecule: RNase P RNA, 343 nt
Filed under: Candidatus Poribacteria bacterium
Lineage: Bacteria; Candidatus Poribacteria
Description: RNase P RNA component class A
Rfam family: Bacterial RNase P class A
About the family: Ribonuclease P (RNase P) is a ubiquitous endoribonuclease, found in archaea, bacteria and eukarya as well as chloroplasts and mitochondria.
Source: RNAcentral
UGAGUUGAGGAGAUGGUCGCGUCCCAAAUUUGGGGUGAGGAAAGUCCGGACUCCAUUGGGCAAGGGUGCUGGGUAACCCCCAGGAGCGGCAACGCUAUGGAAAGUGUAAUAGAAAAUAGACUACAACGUAUUACACGUUGUACAGGUGGAAAGGUGUGGUAAAAGCGCACCAGUCCAUAAGGUGACUUAUGGAGCUAUCAAACCCCGCCUGGAGCAAGGUAAAACAGGGAUAUUUAGAGGCAUGCCCGCCUCGUCCCGGGUAACCGCUUGAGGUCAAAUGGUAACAUUGAUCCCAGAUGAAUGACCAUCAAAUACAGAAUCCGGCUUAUUCUUGGCUCAAGCA